UCACGUCCCAUGGGUGUAUACUUCCAACGCACUGCCUGCUUGAUGGCUGGUGUCCAGCGGGGCCCCUCCAGGGACAGGUAGUCAUCACUAAGGGUAGAGGUAGGGGGCAGAGGCUAAGCCCGUGGCUGUCCCCUGCCCCUCCCUGGGCCACAGCUUGCCCAUCUUUAGAAUGGGUCUUCUACCCUCACUGCCACAUGUGACAUGGAGGGUGCAAAGGCCCAGUCCACACCACAGAGGGCCUUCCUCCAGCUCCACUUGGCCAUGUGUCCUCAGCACUGGACCUCCCGUCCAGGCUGGCAGGAGAGGCCCCCUCCUCUCUGCCACAUCCGCCCCAGAACCCUCACUUAACCUUUCACCUUUUCUUGCCUCUCCCCCAAGGGACACCAGGGAGUGAGGAUAUAAAAGCUGUGGCCACUCCUCUGGUCCUAAGUCCUUGUCCAGCCUCCAGGAAGUCCCUUGGUCCAUAGGCACACCAGGAAGACGUGGUCUCAGCUGAAAAACCACCAAUGCUGUUCAUGUGAAGCUGCAGGGAAACUUGCUUAAGCAUAACCCUCACAUGGCUGUUCCUUCUGGAACGCAUCCUCAUAGCACCACUGCUCGAGGGACAGAGAUGGGCGUGCUCACCUAGUGAGCUGCUCCUGGAAAAUCCCCGGGGAGUGAGCCUGGCCUGGCGGCCCAGGAGGCCUCAGCAGGGCCACUGACAGAACACUGUCAUCGCUGCCUGCAGAGCCCGGCUAGUUCUCCCUCCAGCAGAUUUGACAGGAGCAUCAAAACUAGAAACACAGGGUCUCGUCAAAGGUGGAACGAGCCUGGUAGGUUCAGGAACAUCGGUCUCAGAAACCUGGCGGACCGGACUUGCCACCCAAAGGGCCAUUUCAAGGUCGCCUGGGGUACCCCGCCCUUUUGAAACUAAGAUUUCUAAACUGCAAAAUGCACAUGGUCUGUAAAAUGUGGUUAAAAUGCUCCAGUGUAACACACA
Molecule: long non-coding RNA, 979 nt
Organism: Myotis davidii
Lineage: Eukaryota; Metazoa; Chordata; Mammalia; Chiroptera; Vespertilionidae
Exons: 2
Source: RefSeq, a predicted model, not a curated record